UCGGAUCACAAUGUUCUUCUAUAAUUUAGAAAUAACUUUUUUGUUGCAUAGAUAGAUAAACAUACUAUCUCAGCUUGGUUUCUAUCUUGAUCAUGUUGUCACCUUCGAAUCUAUCUCAAUCUGUCCCACAGGAUUGUCAAGGAUGCCCUCACAGCAGCCACACUUCGGUUAGUCAAGUGUGACCCUGCAGUUCUGCUCCUAAAUCAGAGAAAAUCAUGGCAACAAGGCCUCGAAGAGUAAGGAACUUGAACCUCCUAGAAGUAGAAGAUGUAAAACCUGCUGAGGAUGAGCAUGACAAUUCAGCGGAGAAUGAGAACAAUGAAAAUUUACAGUGUCCUCUUGAUAUUGAUGGUUUAUUAGCUCGCAUGCCACGCUACCAUCCUCGAAGUCCAAUUAAGAUAAUAUGGCCAAAUGGAGAGGUGCGGCAAGUUUUAGGUGAUUUCACAAUUUCAAAUCUAUUGGAAUUAGAAGGAGGAAAGGUAAUUGUAGGGACUGAUGAAAAUGGAGUCCCAAAUGAAAGGUCAGCCUCCAUAUGAU
Molecule: long non-coding RNA, 537 nt
Organism: Panicum virgatum (switchgrass)
Lineage: Eukaryota; Viridiplantae; Streptophyta; Magnoliopsida; Poales; Poaceae
Exons: 3
Source: RefSeq, a predicted model, not a curated record